RNAcentral lists this ribosomal RNA (498 nucleotides) under uncultured bacterium. RNAcentral's name for it is "partial 16S ribosomal RNA". It matches the Rfam family "Bacterial small subunit ribosomal RNA", at positions 30 to 523 of the family's 1533-position model. The record is from RNAcentral.
AUUGAACGCUGGCGGCAUGCCUUACACAUGCAAGUCGAACGGUAACAGGUCUUCGGAUGCUGACGAGUGGCGAACGGGUGAGUAAUACAUCGGAACGUGCCUAGUAGUGGGGGAUAACUACUCGAAAGAGUGGCUAAUACCGCAUGAGAUCUACGGAUGAAAGCAGGGGAUCGCAAGACCUUGUGCUACUAGAGCGGCCGAUGGCAGAUUAGGUAGUUGGUGGGAUAAAAGCUUACCACGCCGACGAUCUGUAGCUGGUCUGAGAGGACGAUCAGCCACACUGGGACUGGGACACGGCCCAGACUCCUACGGGAGGAAGCAGUGGGGAAUUUUGGACAAUGGGCGAAAGCCUGAUCCAGCAAUGCCGCGUGCAGGAUGAAGGCCUUCGGGUUGUAAACUGCUUUUGUACGGAACGAAAAGCCCCGGGUUAAUACCCUGGGGUCAUGACGGUACCGUAAGAAUAAGCACCGGCUAACUACGUGCCAGCCGCCGCCGUAA